Molecule: ribosomal RNA, 254 nt
Filed under: uncultured bacterium
Lineage: Bacteria
Description: partial 16S ribosomal RNA
Rfam family: Bacterial small subunit ribosomal RNA
Source: RNAcentral
UACGUAGGGUGCAGGCGUUAAUCGGAAUUACUGGGCGUAAAGCGUGCGCAGGCGGUUUGCUAAGACAGGUGUGAAAUCCCCCGGGCUUAACCUGGGAACUGCGCUUGUUACUGGCAGGCUUGAGUGUGGCAGAGGGGGGUGGAAUUCCACGUGUAGCAGUGAAAUGCGUAGAGAUCAGGAGGAACACCCGUGGCGAAGGCGGCCCUCUGGCUCGACCCUGACGCUGAGAGGCGAAAGCGUGGGGAGCGAACGGG